Molecule: long non-coding RNA, 1180 nt
Organism: Scylla paramamosain (green mud crab)
Lineage: Eukaryota; Metazoa; Arthropoda; Malacostraca; Decapoda; Portunidae
Exons: 4
Source: RefSeq, a predicted model, not a curated record
UAGAAAAAAAAAAAAAAAAAAAAAUUCAUAUCCUGAUCGUACAACGACACCCUUGAUGCAAAACAUGUUUGCGCGCCUGACGAUGUUAAGACACACGACACACACUUCCCUUGAGAAAAGAUGGUAGCCUUCACGAGUGUCUUACUAUUUCUUUGCAGAGCCCCUCUUCUUGAUGACGACGCGUACACUGUCAGCUACACUUUGCAGUGUCUCACUUAAAUUUUUCUCUAUCUUUGUAUCUCUCCAUUUCAGAUAAAUUGUUAUCUUUCCAAGGGUUGAGGAGAACAUGGUCGUGGUUCAAGUGAAGCCACUACAGCCACUCCCUGACAAGCCUUCCACACCGACAGACAGUGGCAGCAGACACACAAGAGACGAUGGUGUGGUGGACAAGAAGAUGCAGGGAGACAGCAGACAGAAUGGAAGCUACAGAUGAAAGAAGAGCAGGUCAAGCCAUGGCAGCAGACACAUAGACAGACAGAUUGGAUAAGAAAGAAGUAUUAUUUAGUGAGACAGGACCACUGGAAGCUGUCAGAGUGCUGUGGCACGUGGCAAGAACCAAGUGUUCAGGAGCACACACUGUCCCUUCACCAGUCAGCAGGUCUGGGCGGCUUGGAAGUCUCACUACAAACUGAAGACCCGUUCACUUGAAGGACACAGUUGGAGUCGGACACAAGAUCCAAGAGGGAGUUAUUUUUAAACGAGAGCUUCAGGCAGAAAAUUCGAGUGGAUUUUCAACUCUAAAAAUAACUUUUUUGGGGGGGAUAUUUUGAACCUUCUUUAUCUUGAAAAAUAACUGCAGAUAUCAUGACUCUAGCUGGAAAUUGACCUGAGCAAUGUAGGGUUUGCUGCAGUGAGAUUACCAAGGCACGAGUGUCUGGGAUUUAAAGAUGAUGGAUAUGUGUCCUGUGUGCUGCUGUGCUGGGAGGAGAGGAGCAGCAGCAGUCGUGGGGCUCUGUUGCUGCUGUCACUGGUGCAGCUGUUCACUCCUGCAGCUACCUUCCCUCAACAUACUGUGUCUUCCCUCACCUGCAAUGAACAACUAUGAACAAUACUUCUCCUGCGAUGAGGAACAGUGAAUAACACCUCUCUCUCUCUCUCUCUCUCUCUCUCUCUCUCUCUCUCUCUCUCUCUCUCUCUCUCUCUCUCUCUCUCUCUCUCUCUCUCUCUCUCUCUCUCUCUC